RNAcentral lists this ribosomal RNA (544 nucleotides) under uncultured bacterium. RNAcentral describes it as "bacterial SSU rRNA". It matches the Rfam family "Bacterial small subunit ribosomal RNA", at positions 777 to 1320 of the family's 1533-position model. The record is from RNAcentral.
AAUAGAUACCCAGGUAGUCCACGCUGUAAACGUUGGGCGCUAGGUGUGGGGGGCCUCUCCGGUUCUCUGUGCCGCAGCUAACGCAUUAAGCGCCCCGCCUGGGGAGUACGGCCGCAAGGCUAAAACUCAAAGGAAUUGACGGGGGGCCCGCACAAGCGGCGGAGCAUGCGGAUUAAUUCGAUGCAACGCGAAGAACCUUACCUGGGUUUGACAUGGCCGCAAAUCCCGCAGAGAUGUGGGGUCCUUCGGGGCGGUCACAGGUGGUGCAUGGCUGUCGUCAGCUCGUGUCGUGAGAUGUUGGGUUAAGUCCCGCAACGAGCGCAACCCUCGUUCGAUGUUGCCAGCGGGUUAUGUCCGGGGACUCAUCGAAGACUGCCGGGGUCAACUCGGAGGAAGGUGGGGAUGACGUCAAGUCAUCAUGCCCCUUAUGUCCAGGGCUUCACGCAUGCUACAAUGGCCGGUACAAAGGGCUGCGAUACCGUAAGGUGGAGCGAAUCCCAAAAAGCCGUCGUCAGUUCGGAUCGGGGUCUGCAACUCGACCCCG